Molecule: long non-coding RNA, 358 nt
Filed under: Citrus sinensis (sweet orange)
Lineage: Eukaryota; Viridiplantae; Streptophyta; Magnoliopsida; Sapindales; Rutaceae
Description: long non-coding RNA (CSIN_LNC000950)
Source: RNAcentral
UUCCGCCCCCCGAGAACGCCGACCGCAUCAAGGGCCUCUCCCGCCGCCGCAAGUCCCGCAGCACUACCUGCUGCUGCUUCCGUUUCUGCUGCUGCUCGCUGCUUCUCCUCGUCCUCCUCUUGGCCAUCGCCGCCGGCGUCUUCUACCUCGUCUUCCGUCCCGAAUCCCCCAACUACUCCGUCGACGGCGUCUCCAUCGCCGGCCUCAACCUCACCUCGCCGUCCUCCGUCGUCUCUCCCCGGUUCGACGUCUCCGUCACCGCCGACAAUCCGAACGACAAGAUCGGAAUCUACUACGAGAGAGGCAGCUCGGUGGAGGUCUCCUACAAGGACGUCGCCUUAUGCGACGGCGAAUGGCC